UGUCGAAGGUGGGAUCGGCGAUUGGGACGAAGUCGUAACAAGGUAGCCGUACCGGAAGGUGCGGCUGGAUCACCUCCUUU
Molecule: ribosomal RNA, 80 nt
Filed under: Nitrospira sp.
Lineage: Bacteria; Pseudomonadati; Nitrospirota; Nitrospiria; Nitrospirales; Nitrospiraceae
Description: partial 16S ribosomal RNA
Rfam family: Bacterial small subunit ribosomal RNA
Source: RNAcentral